RNAcentral lists this ribosomal RNA (468 nucleotides) under uncultured bacterium. Its description in RNAcentral is "partial 16S ribosomal RNA". It matches the Rfam family "Bacterial small subunit ribosomal RNA", at positions 28 to 507 of the family's 1533-position model. The record is from RNAcentral.
GACGAACGCUGGCGGCGUGCUUAACACAUGCCAGUCGAACGGAAAGGCCCUGCUUUUGUGGGGUGCUCGAGUGGCGAACGGGUGAGUAACACGUGAGUAACCUGCCCUUGACUUUGGGAUAACUUCAGGAAACUGGGGCUAAUACCGGAUAGGAGCUCCUGCUGCAUGGUGGGGGGUGGAAAGUUUCGGCGGUUGGGGAUGGACUCGCGGCUUAUCAGCUUGUUGGUGGGGUAGUGGCUUACCAAGGCUUUGACGGGUAGCCGGCCUGAGAGGGUGACCGGCCACAUUGGGACUGAGAUACGGCCCAGACUCCUACGGGAGGCAGCAGUGGGGAAUAUUGCACAAUGGGCGGAAGCCUGAUGCAGCAACGCCGCGUGCGGGAUGACGGCCUUCGGGUUGUAAACCGCUUUCGCCUGUGACGAAGCGUGAGUGACGGUAAUGGGUAAAGAAGCACCGGCUAACUACGUG